Elaeis guineensis (African oil palm) is the source of this 2324-nucleotide non-coding RNA. The record is from RefSeq and is a predicted model, not a curated record. Lineage: Eukaryota; Viridiplantae; Streptophyta; Magnoliopsida; Arecales; Arecaceae.
CGUAUCAGCUCCGAGGGCGAAACGGAAAAGUCUGUCAGAGGGGGCCGUGGGCAGGAGUUCUGCCCCCAUCUCUCUCUCUCGUCGGAAGGGGUUCUCGAACGGUCCUGCACUUUGGAGUUCUAAAGUGAUGGAAAGAAUCGGAGGAGUGGGGUUGCAAUUGGUGAAAAAUGGCAACUUUGGAGAAGGUGAGUCUCCAAGAUUCUCUGUCCCUUCGACCAGAACUGGAUCUCGAAAUACAAGCCCUUCUCGGCAGAAGGUGAUCAAGACCAAGCCUAGGGGUUUUGACGAGGAGACUGUUGCAACAUUUGGUAAAGUCGUUCAUGCUGAUAUCCUGAUGGAAGAUAGCAUAUGGUCUCUAUUGCCCGAGGACUUGCUAAUUGAGGUUCUUGCUAGGGUGCCUCCAUUCUUGGUCUUUAGGCUGAGGUCAGUUUGCAGGCGAUGGAAUUCGAUUCUUCAAGACAGUAGCUUUCUCAAAUCUCACUCGAAAGUUCCUUCACAUGGGCCUUGCCUCAUCACAUUCUGGAAGAACUCGCAAACCCAUCAGUGUUCUGUAUUCAGCCUACCAUUGAAGACUUGGUAUAAGAUCCCAUUUGGUUUUUUACCAGAUUGGGCAUUCUGGUUGGUUGGUUCUUCAGGUGGUCUUGUUUGUUUUUGUGGAUACGAUGGGCUUUGUUUUAAAACCCUUGUUUGCAAUCCCCUAACUCAGACAUGGAGGGCAUUGCCAAACAUGCAUUAUAAUCAGCAAAGGCAGUUGAUCUUGGUUGUUGAUAGGGUGGAUCGUUCAUUCAAGGUGAUUGCGGCAAGUGAUAUAUAUGGAGACAAAACACUGCCUACCGAAGUUUAUGAUUCAAACCUUGACCAUUGGUCUGUUCAUCAGACAAUGCCAGCUGUUAAUCUAUGUUCAUCAAAGAUGGCAUUUUGUGACUCAAGACUAUAUCUGGAGACUCUUUCGCCACUUGGCUUGAUGAUGUAUCAAGUAGAUACAGGGCAUUGGGAACAUAUUCCAGCCAAGUUUCCACGAUCAUUGCUGGAUGGCUAUUUGGUUGCUGGUGCACAAAAGCGUUUGUUUUUGGUUGGAAGGAUUGGACUUUACAGCACUUUCCAAAGCAUGCGAAUUUGGGAGUUGGAUCAUGCUAAGACUGUGUGGGUGGAAAUAAGUAGAAUGCCACCAAAGUACUUCAGAGUUCUGUUGAGAUUAUCAGCUGAAAGAUUUGAGUGUUUUGGGCAGGAUAAUCUUAUAUGCUUUACAUCAUGGAACCAAGGGAAAGGUCUUCUAUAUGAUGUGGAUAAGAAAACUUGGUCAUGGAUUGCUGGCUGUGCAAUCCAGUUGUGUAACAGUCAGGUUUGCUUUUAUGAGCCAAGAUUUGAUGUGCCCAUCUAUUGAGAGGUGAGGCUUCAGUGGCAUGGGGUGGAGGAAGGUUGACAAAGGGUGUUUAUUUGGAGACAAUGACAUUAUUCUUCCUUAUGCCAUAAUUAGGGAUACUGUUCUUGUCGAGAUAAUAACUAAGAGCAACUUAUCUACAUAACUGUAGAAUGUCUAGAAAAGCUGUACUACAGGCAUGCUAUGAUCAUCUGAACAUCGAGGUAUACAGGAAAUAAGUCAACCUAACAGGAUGUGUUUGUAGGAUUGUGGCUGCUGAGGAAGUGUUCUAUUCAAUUGCCGGAUGGCAAAGAAACAUUCUAUUACUGUUUUUGGUAUUACUGGGAUCCAUAAACAUGGGAUUUCUCCUAGGUACCAAGACAAGUGGCUGAACAGAUGCAUGUAAUUCGAUGAAGGUGGCGGUACUAUGGCUUUUCUGAGGCAAUCAGCACUUCCAUCAGUUGACAUUUGUUUGUCUCCUCUGGAAAAGAACUUACCGUAAUUUCACAAUUUUCUUUUGGUCGCAUGUUCUUAUGCAAUUUUGUCUGUUGAGAUUGCAGAUUGGAGUCUGAACUAUUUAUUCAACUUGUGCGCGUCGAUCCAAUCGGAGUGGCACAGCGUCCUGCAUGUAAAUUCUGCAUCGCAGAGGACCCGUGCCCGAUGAGUGCUGCGCGGAUGUGGUGGUUUCCCAAAGAGAUGGUGUGGAGGGCGUGGGGACCGGAGGCUUAAACAGAUGAACCGUUGCUCCCUUUGGAAGUGUGAUCACGUGCAUGGCACACAGUUCUCUUGAGAAACCGCUCGCAGAAUUUAUUGAAAUCAUUAGUUUUUCCAAGGCACUCUUGGAGAGUGAGAUAGGUAUUGUUGGCAAUUGUAAAAUAUUGCAAUUAGCUCUACAUCUAUAUCCAAUCGUUUUGAUUGUCAUAUUAAGUAUGAAUCUUGAUCUUUCUUAAGUGCUCUUUUGCUA